AUUGAACGCUGGCGGCAGGCCUAACACAUGCAAGUCGAGCGGAUGAAGGGAGCUUGCUCCUGGAUUCAGCGGCGGACGGGUGAGUAAUGCCUAGGAAUCUGCCUGGCAGUGGGGGAUAACGUCCGGAAACGGGCGCUAAUACCGCAUACGUCCUGAGGGAGAAAGUGGGGGAUCUUCGGACCUCACGCUAUCAGAUGAGCCUAGGUAGGAUUAGCUAGUUGGUGGGGUAAAGGCCUACCAAGGCGACGAUCCGUAACUGGUCUGAGAGGAUGAUCAGUCACACUGGAACUGAGACACGGUCCAGACUCCUACGGGAGGCAGCAGUGGGGAAUAUUGGACAAUGGGCGAAAGCCUGAUCCAGCCAUGCCGCGUGUGUGAAGAAGGUCUUCGGAUUGUAAAGCACUUUAAGUUGGGAGGAAGGGCAGUAAGUUAAUACCUUGCUGUUUUGACGUUACCAACAGAAUAAGCACCGGCUAACUUCGUG
RNAcentral lists this ribosomal RNA (484 nucleotides) under uncultured bacterium. Its description in RNAcentral is "partial 16S ribosomal RNA". It matches the Rfam family "Bacterial small subunit ribosomal RNA", at positions 30 to 507 of the family's 1533-position model. The record is from RNAcentral.